UUUGUUUGGGUUAAUUUAGUAGGUGACGUACUAAUACUAUGUAAUAAAUUGAUAAAAGAUAAAAUCAAUUCGUUCCUUAAGGGGCAUGCAUGUGUAAUCAAAUGUACUAAAUAAACUAGUUUUGAGCUAAAGUGGACCAGUUUUGUGUGUACUUGGUUGUUCUAUAUCAAUUUUACAUUUUCCAACCCAUAGUCCAUGCAGUAUAACGGUCAUCUCAUAUUGGCCUAGUAACUAAUUAGCUUUAAACUGUUCUCUAGAAAGUUACUACGGG
Paramuricea clavata is the source of this 271-nucleotide non-coding RNA. The record is from the annotation of a GenBank genome assembly. NCBI's taxonomy places the organism in Eukaryota, Metazoa, Cnidaria, Anthozoa, Malacalcyonacea, Plexauridae.